GACGAACGCUGGCGGCGUGCCUAAUACAUGCAAGUUGAGCGCUGAAGGUUGGUACUUGUACCGACUGGAUGAGCAGCGAACGGGUGAGUAACGCGUGGGGAAUCUGCCUUUGAGCGGGGGACAACAUUUGGAAACGAAUGCUAAUACCGCAUAAAAACUUUAAACACAAGUUUUAAGUUUGAAAGAUGCAAUUGCAUCACUCAAAGAUGAUCCCGCGUUGUAUUAGCUAGUUGGUGAGGUAAAGGCUCACCAAGGCGAUGAUGCAUAGCCGACCUGAGAGGGUGAUCGGCCACAUUGGGACUGAGACACGGCCCAAACUCCUACGGGAGGCAGCAGUAGGGAAUCUUCGGCAAUGGACGAAAGUCUGACCGAGCAACGCCGCGUGAGUGAAGAAGGUUUUCGGAUCGUAAAACUCUGUUGGUAGAGAAGAACGUUGGUGAGAGUGGAAAGCUCAUCAAGUGACGGUAACUACCCAGAAAGGGACGGCUAACUACGU
RNAcentral lists this ribosomal RNA (496 nucleotides) under uncultured bacterium. Its description in RNAcentral is "partial 16S ribosomal RNA". It matches the Rfam family "Bacterial small subunit ribosomal RNA", at positions 28 to 506 of the family's 1533-position model. The record is from RNAcentral.